GGUGAACGCUGGCGGCGUGCCUAAGACAUGCAAGUCGAGCGGGCCGCGGGGUUUUACUCCGUGGUCAGCGGCGGACGGGUGAGUAACGCGUGGGUGACCUACCCGGAAGAGGGGGACAACCCGGGGAAACUCGGGCUAAUCCCCCAUGUGGACCCGCCCCUUGGGGUGUGUCCAAAGGGCUUUGCCCGCUUCCGGAUGGGCCCGGGUCCCAUCAGCUAGUUGGUGGGGUAAUGGCCCACCAAGGCGACGACGGGUAGCCGGACUGAGGGGGUGGCAGGCCACAGGGGCACUGGAACACGAGCCCAACUCCUACGGGAGGCAGCAGUUAGGAAUCUGCAGCAAUGGGCGAAAGCCUGACGGAGCGACGACGCUUGGAGGAAGAAGCCAUUCGGGGUGUAAACUACUGAACCCGGGACGAAACCCCCGACGAGGGGACGGACGGUACCGGGGUAAUAGCGCCGGCCAACUCCGUG
RNAcentral lists this ribosomal RNA (473 nucleotides) under uncultured bacterium. RNAcentral describes it as "partial 16S ribosomal RNA". It matches the Rfam family "Bacterial small subunit ribosomal RNA", at positions 28 to 507 of the family's 1533-position model. The record is from RNAcentral.